AAAAAGGUAAGCUAAUUCAAGCUUCUGGGUUCAUACCCCAUCUAUGGGGGUAUAAAACCUCCUCUUUUUG
RNAcentral lists this transfer RNA (70 nucleotides) under Chrysomeloidea sp. 4 KM-2017. Its description in RNAcentral is "tRNA-Met". Lineage: Eukaryota; Metazoa; Arthropoda; Insecta; Coleoptera. The record is from RNAcentral.